UGGGGAAUUUUGGACAAUGGGCGAAAGCCUGAUCCAGCAAUGCCGCGUGUGUGAAGAAGGCCUUCGGGUUGUAAAGCACCUUUGUCCGGAAAGAAAUCCUUGGCUCUAAUACAGUCGGGGGAUGACGGUACCGGAAGAAUAAGCACCGGCUAACUACGUGCCAGCAGCCGCGGUAAUACGUAGGGUGCAAGCGUUAAUCGGAAUUACUGGGCGUAAAGCGUGCGCAGGCGGUUUGCUAAGACCGAUGUGAAAUCCCCGGGCUCAACCUGGGAACUGCAUUGGUGACUGGCAGGCUAGAGUAUGGCAGAGGGGGGUAGAAUUCCACGUGUAGCAGUGAAAUGCGUAGAGAUGUGGAGGAAUACCGAUGGCGAAGGCAGCCCCCUGGGCCAAUACUGACGCUCAUGCACGAAAGCGUGGGGAGCAAAACAGGAUUAGAUACCCUGGUAGUCCACGCCCUAAAACGAUGUCAGCUAGUUGUUGGGGAUUCAUUUCCUUAGUAACGUAGCUAACGCGUGAAGUUGACCGCCUGGGGAGUACGGUCGCAAGAUUAAAACUCAAAUGAAUUGAC
This 568-nucleotide ribosomal RNA is filed under the name uncultured bacterium. RNAcentral describes it as "partial 16S ribosomal RNA". It matches the Rfam family "Bacterial small subunit ribosomal RNA", at positions 355 to 914 of the family's 1533-position model. The record is from RNAcentral.